AUCGUUUCAUGGCUCAGGAUGUUAGCUAGCGGCAGGCCUAAUACAUGCAAGUCGAACGAGAUUAAGAGAGUGCUUCUUAUGAUCAGGGCGCACGGGUGCGUAACGCGUAUGCAACCUACCUUAAUCAGGGAUAGCCCGAUCAAAUUCGGAUUAAGACCGCAUAAAAACACAGGAUAGCAUUAUCCAAUGUUCAAAUAUUUAUAGGAUUAAGAUGGGCAUGCGUGUCAUUAGCUAGUUGGCGGUAUAACGGCCCACCAAGGCGACGAUGACUAGGGGAUCUGAGAGGAUGACCCCCCACACUGGUACUGAGACACGGACCAGACUCCUACGGGAGGCAGCAGUAAGGAAUAUUGGUCAAUGGAGACAACUCUGAACCAGCCAUGCCGCGUGCAGGAAGACAGCCCUCUGGGUCGUAAACUGCUAUUCGGGAAUAAACCUUAGUACGUGUAGGAAGCUGAAUGUACCGAAGGAAUAAGGAUCACUAACUCCGUGCCAGCAGCCGCGGUAAUACGGAGGAUCCAAGCGUUAUCCGGAUUUAUUGGGUUCGGGGUGCGUAGGCGGCUUAUUAAGUCAGCGUGAGACGGUGGCUCAACCAUCGCAGUGCCCUUGAUACUGAUGAGCUUGAAUACACUAGAGGUAGCACGAAUGUGACAAGUAGCGGUGAAGCAUAGAUAUGUCACAGAACACCGAUUGCGAAGGCAGCUCACUAUGGUGUGAUUGACGCUGAGGCACGAAUCCGUGGGGAUCAAACAGGAUUAGAUACGGUAGUCCACGCCCUAAACGAUGAAUACUCGCUGUUAGCGAUAUACAGUUAGGCUAAGCGAAAGCGUUAAGUAUGUUACCUGGGGAGUACGCCCGCAAGGGUGAAACUCAAAGGAAUUGACGGGCUACCGCACAAGCGGAGGAGCAUGUGGUUUAAUUCGAUGAUACGCGAGGCCCCUUACCCGGGCUUGAAUCUUAGUGAAUGAUCUAGAGAUAGAUCAGUGAGCAAUCACACGAAACUAGGUGAGCGGCUGUCAGCUCGUGCCGUGAGGUGUUGUCAUAAGUACCGCAACGAGCGACGCCCCUAUGUUUAGUUGCCAGCACGUUAAGGUGGGGACUCUAAACAGACUGCCUGUGCAAACAGAGAGGAAGGAGGGGACGACGUCAAGUCAUCAUGGCCCUUACGUCCUCGGCUACACACGUGCUACAAUGGAUGGUACAGAGGGCAGCAAGCUGGCAACAGCAAGCGAAUCUCAAAGCCAUUCCUAGUUCGGAUAGAGGUCUGCAACUCGACCUCUUGAAGUUGGAUUCGCUAGUAAUCGCGUAUCACUUAUGACGCGGUGAAUACGUUCCCGGGCCUUGUACACACCGCCCGUCAAGCCAUGGAAGUUGGCGGUACCUAAAGUAUGUAACCGUAAGGCGUCCUAGGGUAAUACCGAUAACUGGAUCUAAGUCGUAACCUGGUAG
Molecule: ribosomal RNA, 1449 nt
Filed under: uncultured Pedobacter sp.
Lineage: Bacteria; Pseudomonadati; Bacteroidota; Sphingobacteriia; Sphingobacteriales; Sphingobacteriaceae
Description: bacterial SSU rRNA
Rfam family: Bacterial small subunit ribosomal RNA
Source: RNAcentral